CCUACGGGGGGCAGCAGUGGGGAAUAUUGGGCAAUGGGCGCAAGCCUGACCCAGCAACGCCGCGUGAAGGAAGAAGGCUUUCGGGUUGUAAACUUCUUUUCUGAGGGACGAAGAAAGUGACGGUACCUCAGGAAUAAGCCACGGCUAACUACGUGCCAGCAGCCGCGGUAAUACGUAGGUGGCAAGCGUUAUCCGGAUUUAUUGGGUGUAAAGGGCGUGUAGGCGGGAAAGCAAGUCAGAUGUGAAAACUCAGGGCUCAACCCUGGGCCUGCAGUUGAAACUGUUGGUCUUGAGUGCUGGAAGGGCAAUCGGAAUUCCGUGUGUAGCGGUGAAAUGCGUAGAUAUACGGAGGAACACCAGUGGCGAAGGCGGAUUGCUGGACAGUAACUGACGCUGAGGCGCGAAAGCGUGGGGAGCAAACAGGAUUAGAUACCCGAGUAGUC
This 443-nucleotide ribosomal RNA is filed under the name uncultured bacterium. RNAcentral's name for it is "partial 16S ribosomal RNA". It matches the Rfam family "Bacterial small subunit ribosomal RNA", at positions 338 to 795 of the family's 1533-position model. The record is from RNAcentral.